UCGAGACAUUAUCCCAACAUACUUGUAUUAACUGUAUUGGCAUAUUUGGUUACAUAUCUGCAUAAGUCGUUUUUGACUCUCAAAUCCAAUGCGCAACACCUGGUAGGGAUGGAACAUGUUUUUUGAAGGUUUUCACCUCCUUCUAAUAGGCUACAUAGGCUACAUAGCGUGACGUAAUCUCUGUAUCUAUUUGGGAAAGCAGUGUGUUCACUCGGUAUAUGGUGAAACCAGCGUCUUGUUUUCAACACUCGUCGCUAUCCAUGGUGCUGAACUGUCUACCGAUUUGUCCCUGCUUCAAACCACCUCUCUCAAUGCAAGGUGUUUAUUGGGGCGUUAAAACACACCACACACACACACACACACACACACACACACCUGGGAUGUGCAUGGGGUGGCUACAGGGGAUAUAUAAAAAACAACAACCCAAUACUAAUAAAACUUGAAACUUAACCCCCCACCAGCCCCUCUCCUCUCUCUUCGUGAGGUUUCCGUUGUGAUGAUGAUGAUGAUGAUGAUGACUGCAUCCCCGCUCUUCCGUCCCUGCUGCUUCCCACUUCUCUCUCACUCCGUUUUCAAUUCAAGGGGCUUUAUUUUAGUGAAACAUAUAUUAACAUCGCUUAAGCAAGUGAGGUAGAUGAUAAACAAUGCAAAUGAACAGUAAAUAUUACACUCACAGAAGUUCCAAAAGAAUAAAGACAUGUGAAAUGUCAUAUUAUUUAUAUUAUUUAUAUAUAUAUAUAUAUAUAUAUAUACAGUGUUGUAACAAUGUACAAAUGGUUAAGGGUACACGAGGGACAAUAAAUAAACAUAAAUAUGGGUUGUAUUUACAAUGUGUCACACCCUGACCAUAGUUUGCUUUGUAUGUUUCUAUGUUUUGGUUGGUCAGGGUGUGAUCUGAGUGGGCAUUCUAUGUUGGAUGUCUAGUUUGUCUAUUUCUAUGUUUGGCCUGAUAUGGUUCUCAAUCAGAGGCAGGUGUUAGUCAUUGUCUCUGAUUGGGAACCAUAUUUAGAUAGCCUGGGUUUCACUGUGUGUUUGUGGGUGAUUGUUCCUGUCUCUGGGUUUUGCACCAGAUAGGGCUGUUUUGGGUUUUCACAUUUCAUUGUUUUGUAGUUUAUUCAUGUAUAGUUUUCCUUUAUUAAACAAACAUGAAUCAUCACCACCCUGCGUUUUGGUCCGCCUCUACUUCACCACAAGAAAGCCGUUACACAAUGGUGUUUGUUCUUCACUGGUUGCCCUUUUCUUGUGGCAACAGGUCACACAUCUUGCUGCUGUGAUGGCACACUGUGGAAUUUCACCCAGUAGAUAUGGGAAUUUAUCAAAAUUGGGUUUGUUUUCUAAUUCUUUGUCGGCCUGUGUAAUCUGAGGGAAAUAUGUGUCUCUAAUAUGGUCAAACACUUGGCAGGAGGUUAGGAAUUGCAGCUCAAAUAGCAUUCUAGUUUGCUCAGUUUUUUUGUAAAUUCUUUCCAAUGUGUCAAGUAAUUAUCUUUUUGUUUUCUCAUGAUUUGAUUGGGUCUAAUUGUGCUGCUGUCCUGGGGCUCUGUAGGGUGUGUUUGUGAACAGAGCCCCAGGACCAGCUUGCUUAGGGGACUCUUCUCCAGGUUCAUCUCUCUGAAGGUGAUGGCUUUGUUAUGGAAGGUUUGGGAAUCACUUCCUUUUAGGUGGUUGUAGAAUUUAACGGCUCUUUUCUGGAUUUUGAUAAUUAGCGGGUAUCGGCCUAAUUCUGCUUCACAUGCAUUAUUUGGUCUUUCUAUGUUGUACAAUACAUUAAGGAUAGUUUUGCAUAAUUGUGAAUUCUUGGUUGGUACGCAGACCCCAGACCUCACAACCAUAAAGGGCAAUGGGCUCUAUGACUGAUUCAAGUAUUUUUAGCUAGAUCCUAAUUGGGAUGUCGAAUUUUGUUCCUUUUGAUGGCAUGGAAUGCCCUUCUUGCCUUGUCUUUUAGAUUGGUCACAGCUUUGUGGAAGUUACCUGUGGCGACCGAGGUUUGUAUAGUUUUUUUUUGUGUGCUCUAGGGCAACGGAAUUUGUAUUUGUUGUCUUGGCGACUGGUCCUUUUUUGGAACACCAUCAUUUUUGUCUUCCUGAGAUUUACUGUCAGGGCCCAGGUCUGUCAGAAUCUGUGCAGAAGAUCUAGGUGCUGCUGUAGGCCCUCCUUGGUUGGUGACAGAAGCACCAGUAGACAUCAGCAAACAGUAGACAUUUGACUUCAGAUUCUAGUAGGGUGAGGCCGGGUGCUGCAGACUGUUCUAGCGCCCUCGGCAAUUUGUUGAUAUAUAUGUUGAAGAGGGUGGGGCUUAAGCUGCAUCCCUGUCUCACCCCCCGGCCCUGAGGAAUGAAAUGUGUUUAUUUCCCAAUUUUAACCUCACACUUCUUUGUCUACGUGGAUUUCAUAAUGUCAUACGUUUUCCCCCAAACACCACUUUCCAACAAUUUGUAUUCAAAAGAUUUUUUUAAAUCAACAAGGCAUGGGAAGACUUUGCCUUUGUUUUGGUUUGAUUGUCAAUCAUGGUUGUGAAUACAUGGUCUGUCGUACGGUAAUUUGGUCAAAAGCCAAUUUGACAUUUGCUCAGUACAUUGUUUUCACUGAGGAAAACAAUGUCUCUCUCUGCUCUCAUCACUCUACUCUGCUCUCAUCACUCUACUCUACUCUGCUCUCAUCUCUGCUCUCAUCUCUCUACUCUACUCUGCUCUCAUCACUCUACUCUACUCUGCUCUCAUCUCUCUACUCUGCUCUCAUCUCUGCUCUCAUCUCUCUACUCUACUCUGCUCUCAUCUCUCUACUCUGCUCUCAUCUCUCUACUCUACUCUCAUUACUAUACUCUACUCUCUACUCUGCUCUCAUUACUAUACUCUACUCUCUACUCUACCCUCAUUACUAUACUCUACUCUACUCUACUCUCAUCACUCUACUCUACUCUGCUCUCAUCGCUCUGCUCUCAACUCUCUGCUCUGCUCAACUCUCUGCUCUCAUCUCUCUACUCUGCUCUCAUCUCUCUGCUCUCAUCUCUCUGCUCUACUCUGCUCUCAUCUCUCUACUCUACUCUGCUCUCAUCUGCUCUGCUCUCAUCUCUCUACUCUGCUCUCAUCUGCUCUGCUCUCAUCUCUCUGCUCUACUCUGCUCUCAUCUCUCUGCUCUACUCUGCUCUCAUCUCUCUGCUCUACUCUGCUCUCAUCUCUCUACUCUACUCUGCUCUCAUCUCUCUGCUCUACUCUGCUCUCAUCUCUCUACUCUACUCUGCUCUCAUCUCUCUACUCUACUCUGCUCUCAUCUCUCUACUCUACUCUGCUCUCAUCUCUCUGCUCUCUGCUCAUCUCUCUACUCUACUCUGCUCUCACCUCUCUACUCUACUCUCAUCUCUCUACUCUACUCUGCUCUCAUCUCUCUACUCUACUCUCAUCUCUCUACUCUACUCUGCUCUCAUCUCUCUACUCUACUCUGCUCUCAUCUCUCUACUCUACUCUCAUCUCUCUACUCUACUCUGCUCUCAUCUCUCUACUCUACUCUCAUCUCUCUACUCUACUCUGCUCUCAUCUGCUCUGCUCUCAUCUCUCUGCUCUACUCUGCUCUCAUCUCUCUACUCUGCUCUCAUCUCUCUACUCUACUCUACUCUGCUCUCAUCUCUCUGCUCUGCUCUGCUCUCAUCUCUCUGCUCUGCUCUCUGCUCUCAUCUCUCUACUCUACUCUGCUCUCAUCUCUCUACUCUACUCUACUCUACUCUCAUCUCUCUACUCUACUCUGCUCUCAUCUCUCUACUCUGCUCUCAUCUCUCUACUCUACUCUACUCUGCUCUCAUCUCUCUGCUCUGCUCUGCUCUCUGCUCUGCUCUCAUCUCUCUGCUCUGCUCUCCUCUCUCUCUGUUCCCUUCAGUGUAUUUCUGCUCAGUCCGACAUUCCCUUAUUAUUUUUUUCAUUCUCAAUUCAGUGACGCGUUUUCGGCUCUGCGUCACACAGCUCUCACACACACACACUCGAUGACCGCAGUGAUCCGCGUGCUGGGUGGUAACGUGUGGGGGAGGGGAGAAGUGGCUCGUGGGGGGUAGGAUAUAGGGGGCGUAUGAAUGGCGUUGAGCGUCAAUGAAAGGCUUUGUGCAUUCAUAAUUCUCUGUUCAGCAUUGUGUUCAUUUUGGUUGAUUUGUAUCAUAAUCCAUGGGGGGGGGAGAGAUCAUUGCACCAUAUAUUCUAUGACUUCUAAAUAUUUCAUAGAGGUCAAAUCAUUUGGAGUGAUGAACUGCAGUGGUCUAUAUUCUGUAUUGACAUUGGACAGAUGUAGAAGUGUAACACAGGCUGCUGAGGGAGGACGACUCAUGAUGGGGUGGCAGGUAGUCUAGUGGUUAGAGUGUAGGGGGGUUAGGUAGUCUAGUGGUUAGAGUGGAGGUCUAGUAUCCAUAAAGGUUGCUAGAUCGAAUCCCCGAGCUGACACGGUACAAAUCUGUCAUUCUGCCCCUGAACAAGGCAGUUAACCCACUGUUCCUAGACCAGUUAACCCACUGUUCCUAGACCAGUUAACCCACUGUUCCUAGACCAGUUAACCCACUGUUCCUAGACCGUCAUUGAAAAUAAAUAUUUGUUCUUAACUGACUUGCCUAAAUAUACUGUAUUGUAUUCUAUACUGACUGUUAAAUGAAGAGAAAAAUAAAUUAAAAUAAAUAAUAACGGCCGGCACGGAGCGAAUGGCAUCAAACACCUGGAAACCAUGGAAACCCCUGUGUUUAAUGUAUUUGAUACCUUU
Oncorhynchus tshawytscha (Chinook salmon) is the source of this 4728-nucleotide long non-coding RNA. The record is from Ensembl. Lineage: Eukaryota; Metazoa; Chordata; Actinopteri; Salmoniformes; Salmonidae.